This 206-nucleotide non-coding RNA is filed under the name Eubacterium sp. RNAcentral's name for it is "T-box sequence". It matches the Rfam family "T-box leader". Rfam says of the family: Uncharged tRNA acts as the effector for transcription antitermination of genes in the T-box leader family. Lineage: Bacteria; Bacillati; Bacillota; Clostridia; Eubacteriales; Eubacteriaceae. The record is from RNAcentral.
GUAAAGGCGAUGAAUUAAAGUAGUACCUUGGAAAAUAAUGCAGAGAGUCAGCUGGUUGGUGAAAAGCUGAAGUAUGGAACAGGGGAACUCGUUAAGGAGCCGAUAAGCACACUUAUCCGUUUUACUUCGCGUUAAGAAGAAAUGAAGGGCUUUUUUCCUUAAGAAAAAAGAACUAAGGUGGUACCGCGUUGAACAACGUCCUUAGA